GCGCUUUGAGUACAUAUUGCAUGGCUGAGAAGUUGGUUACAAUGACAUACGAGAUACUAAAGACACUUGUUGGAUUCAAGAAACAAGGUCGUUGGAUAAAGGGUAUAAACGGAGAAAAUGUGGUUUUCCAGAAAAAUGAUAUUCAUCACAGGUAUCCACAGUUGAAGGAUUGUCUGAUUCUAACAGAUGACGAGUCUGAAGAUACACGCUUCAAAUCUCUUGCUACAUUCAUUCAAUCUUCGAU
Long non-coding RNA from Papaver somniferum (opium poppy), 244 nucleotides. RefSeq lists it as uncharacterized. NCBI's taxonomy places the organism in Eukaryota, Viridiplantae, Streptophyta, Magnoliopsida, Ranunculales, Papaveraceae. The record is from RefSeq and is a predicted model, not a curated record. The transcript is spliced from 3 exons.